This is a long non-coding RNA of Oreochromis niloticus (Nile tilapia), 4876 nucleotides long. RefSeq lists it as uncharacterized. The transcript has 2 exons. NCBI's taxonomy places the organism in Eukaryota, Metazoa, Chordata, Actinopteri, Cichliformes, Cichlidae. The record is from RefSeq and is a predicted model, not a curated record.
CAUGAGCCUGAUGUGUUUUACAGCACCAAACACGACGCAGACAACAAGGAGGAACCCAUGUGAUGUUUGUGUCCGAAAGGAAGCAGCCAAUCGAGUUUCCAGGAAAAGAAGAGUGGUGAUUAUGUUGUCGGGAAAACGGGAACAAGCUUUUAUUUUCCUCAGCACUGAGCUUUCCAUUUAGCGAGAACAAAAGCCGACCACAAAUCACACUGGAAAGCUUCCCGGAUGUCCCGCAAACAUCCUCGUCCACUCUCUCACAGAUUGAGUCGUGUACGUCACGAGGCUCUUAAUUACUUCCAUCCCAGUCUUCAUUUAAGGGUUAACCCAGCCCGCCCGGGGCCUCCCUGUUUGUGUGUGUGUUCUCUCGGAUGCUCGGCGUGGUAACGAUGUGUUUGAAGGUAAUCCUCUCAGCCGCUGCCUUUAAAAAGCAGAGAAGAAAGAGGGGAGGGGAUGCCCCAUUGUGCCUGCACAGAGCUUUCAAACAAAGGCGGCCAUUUUGCCGUGACUCCUUAGCAACAAGGUGGCCUCGCGAGGACUCGCCACUCCUGCUCCAAUUUGUUUGGUUUCCUACACUUUCAGGCGUCUUUGUGUGCACGUUCCCUCGCACUUUACUCCAUUUCGUCCUAAGUCCCUCUUUCCUGCUUUACUUACAAAGAUUUAUGUAAAAUCCAGGAGCAAACAUCAAAUUUUAAAGAGUUUGCGGCUCCUUAAAGGUGAACAACUUGUUUUUAAUGUUUUUAUGCUUCGUGACGACAAUCUUUGGGUUUGAGGGCAGUUGAACUAAACAGGACACUUAAAUCAUUUAAAAGUGCUUGAAAACAUUCACAGUCUGUGUCCUUGAAGCUGAAACAUCCAAACUGCUAACAGCUGGAAACAGCCGCAGCUACAGGUUUGUACUGUGUGUCUAUUUCCACACAAAUUUGAUCUUUUCUUCUCUCUUCAUGUCUUUUCAUGUCCGUCCUGAGAGCUGUGGCAGUAAAGUACCCCGGCUGAGGAUCGCUGCUCUAUUAUGUCCUCAUUUAAAGCCCAUACAUGUGCAGCAGGGAGCCGUGAUCCUGUAUGUGUGCAUUCAUGCCUGCCUGCCUUUGUCAGUAAUCCCGAGCUGUAAAGUGGUGACUGCUGGCUCUUCAUUUCCUCGCAACCAUUCACAGUCCUGCUCAAACACGUCCUCUGAGUCACAUUAGAGGAAUUACGCUCAUUCAAGCCUCCGUGUGGACCCGUAUGAGUCAGGCUGAUUCAAUCAGGUAAACCAGCAUGACUCACAGCCCUUCAUUUUGUUAUAUUUGACAUCAUUCCCCCGAGGCUCGUUUUACUUCGAUUUGUGGUUACAGAUGGUUUUAAAAGCCCCGAAAACCUGAUUUCUCUGCUUCUUGCUACAAAAACACGUUUUCUUGCCUCACUCGAGGGAUUUCAGUGAUUUAUUGUCAGGUUUUAUGUGUUUAGUCACUGAUAUUACUCCUGUCAAACUUAAGGAACGUUAAUGGCCCGAACCUUAGUCUGUGGAGUGGGUGUGGGCCUUUUUCUAAAAACAGGAACACUUUCUUCUCUUGCAUUUUUCAAGUUCCACACAAACAAAACAAGUAAGAGUACAUUUUGUCCUUCCAUGUCCUGGGGUGUUGAAAAAGCUCCCCUUCCUGGUUCCUCUGACCUUUAACCCCUGCGUGGUGUAACUUGGACGCUUGCGUCCCGGAGGGCUAAAAGAAAAGAAGUGUACGCCUCUCAGGCUGACUGAGGCCUGUCCCAGCAGGUCCGGCGUAUUCGGGAGCACAGUAAAGAUCAAACACUCGAGGAUUGAGUUACGUAAGGCCUCCGAUGUUACUGUCACAUCUGCGACAUUAUUCCACUUUUACUAUAAUUUCCCGGAGCUGGGACGGGGCUCAGGCCGACAGGCCAACAAAAACAACCACGGUGUUCCACAUCCAGGAAAAACAAACAUCAGAGCCAAGGAUGAGCACCGGAAGUCUCAGUUUCUGUAAAAACUGUCCAACGUCAGCCUGAAAACAGCUCGGUAGGGAACACAGAGUGUGUGUGUGUGUGUGUGUGUGUGUGUGUGUGUGUGUGUGUGUGUAAGAGUCCGUCACCAUUUACCUCAUUUUGCUGAUGUUCGAGUAAAUGUUCAAAAACAAUCCCUGCCUCCCUCCUGACUCUCCUGAGAAACAGCUGACCCUUUUCUGAAAAUAACUGGAGUAAAAUUUUACCUUCAUGCUUCAAAUAUUUGCAAAGUUAUGGGCUCUCAAAAUAAUUACUUGGCAUCAUUUCUGGUCUCACAUAAGCAGCAUCGUUUCCAGAGUGAGAAACACAUUUAACCUGUUUAAAAACUGCAGAAAAUGUAGAUAAAGUGGAUUUUAUACCCACUUUUUGAUUAUAGAUUGUGUUCUUGGUGCGAGUUAGUUAUUCAUGCUGCGACUCAGAGGUAAAACAUGCCGGAUGAAGCUGGAUAUUGAGACUGAUCUGUUAAUCAGCUGUGACUGUAUGUUGACAGUGUGUUAAUGAGUGAGGGACGGAGGGUUAAUUUGACUGAGCGGUCUGAUAAAGCUGACCUUAGAUCUGUUUAUGUCCAAAUAUAGCCAAAAGGCCAGAAGUUUCCUACUAGGUCAAGUAAAAAUAUCCCAGAUGUUUACUUAAAUGCACAAAGAACAAAUAUGCUGAUUUGUUUCCGAUGAAUAUUUCCUGUUUUCCUGCUCGCAGGCUGAUGUUUAAACAGAUAAGACCCCUCAGUGUCUUCCCUGUAGUCUAACGGCCUGUAAUGUCUGAUUCAAGGCGGCAAUAUGCUGCCUGGGGGAGUGACAUUAAAGUGCUGGAAGAUAGAGGAUGCAAGCUUCAGUAAGAGCUCGAGUCGCUGCAGGCAUCCAGCCUUUUUUCUCCAUUAGUUGAGGAUUCGGUCAGAGAUGUGACAGGAUGAGCUCGGCAGCAGCAGGAAGUGACCAAUAAAAGCUGCACAGAUAAGAUCAAACUCUCAGGAGGGGCUCAUCAAAGCUCAAUUAGCCCCGUCAGCAGAGAAUAAAUCGGCCCUGUCUGCUGCACAGCUGGCUGACUGUACAGCCUUAUCUAAGAAGUCUCACAGAAAACAGGCUCUUUAUCACACUGGAUUUGACUCAUUUCACUGACUAAUAUUUGUCUUUAUUCAUUGAAGGACAAUAGUAACUGACUCAAAGUGAAGCUUACUGCUCUGGUGAUUUCAGGAGUUUACUUUACGCUUGCUUCUUGACAAAAGAGGAAACAUUUUAGUUUUCACAAAGACGUUGUUAAUUAUACGGAGAGUAACACGCCUUUUCUUUUACAGGGAUCGUGCCAACUCAUCCAUUUCCAAACGUUAAAAGGAGCAGAUGUCAGAAGCACAAUUUAAUCAAAACAGAAACAUGCAGGUGUGUAUGAAGGCAGUUUGUUAUAGUGCUUGAUGGUGACUGAAAGAGGAAGCAUACACAGUGGGAGUUUAAUUUUACUCUUCGUUUCUACAAGAGAGUUGUAGUGUUCUCAGUUCACAGCAUGUGAAGUUGAGUUUCUUUGCUAAGACCCACAGUCAGAGGUCUUUCCUGGCCUGUGGGUCCAUUAAAGGAGACCAGAAACUCAUUCAAACAUCCAAAACCUCCAAAGUUAAUCAUUGAUUAACUCAGUGGAUUAAAAAUGAAUGUAGCAUCCUGUGCAGGUAGUAAAAGGUUAAUGUGACGGUUGCGGUCUAUAGUCGCGAGGUAGACCUCACACACACCACAUCAAAAAGGCGCUGUACUGCUGAAAUGCAUUCGAAUAAGGGAAAACCCUCACGCCACCCAAAAGCAGCCUGUGAGCUCUGCUGAGUGGGUAGGUGCCGUUUGUGGUGUAUCAGCUGGGUUUUGUUUGUAGGAAGUAAAUUUCCAGAAGCCGACAAACACAAUGAGCCGUUAUCAAAAGAGAAUCAGCAAAAAUCCCAUAAUCCUCAUGCCUGUGACUAAAGGGCCAAUUCAAAGUUUGGGGAAAGAUGAUGGUUAAUGGUUACACACGCAGUUCAAGAAAAAAAUGUUUGAAAUUAUCAUCGCACACCUUUUCUAGCCCACUGUGUUGGAUUUUGAUGGCAUCACCUGAGGCUUUAUGCAUUUAUGACCAUCUUCUAACAACUAACAGAGUAAUCAGUAGUGAAAGCAAUGGAUAGUAGCAGCCGCACAUAAAUAAUUACCAAAAAAGCCCCAUUACAGAUACAUUAGAAAUAUUGGGUCGAUAUCAUUUGGCUGUCUGGCCGCCUGCCUUUGGGUGGUGUGCUUUGAUUAUCAUUCCUCAUGCCCGAUACAUGUGCUGUGGACGGGUGCUGGAAACAGUCUGGCUGCAAUCCUGAAACAAACAUGUGCAAGUGGAGGACGAGGAGACUGAGACAGCACAGGCUGACAUCAAAAGGCCUCCCUCCGAGGCUCGCCGUUCCCAGAGGAAUCACGGCGAGGCUCACGUUCCCCUGACAUUUAAAAAAAAUAAAUAAAAGCUCCUGACUGGAGCGCUGUCUACGCAUGCACUGCGUAAACUCCCCGAGACAACAACGUGAUCAGCAUACUGACCCCCUGCCAACCAGCUAGCUCCAGCCUUUCCCCUCUCUCGUUCCAGUAGGACCUCACGAGUGAAGUUGCAUUUGCUGGUGCUCAUGGAGCGCUAAAGGUAACCUCCCAGCUCUACCAUCGCGGACUACAGCUGGUAAUAAGAGUCCUUCUCCAUCCAGUUGGCAAGAAAAUCCCCAGAAUAAAACAAGCCUUGCCAAUUGUAGUCAUAGACGAUGAAGAAGCAGCAGAGGUUUGCUGUUAUUUAAUUAAAAAUAGUAAAAACACAACUUUCAGGCCCGAAAGCAAUGUCUAAACUUCUCCAGUCAUUACGAGUUACCAAUGUAAGAUUUUUGAAGUACUAAACACAACUUAAUGCA